CGCCUUGCCAGCCCGCUCAGAAACUUAAAGGAAUUGACGGGGCCCGCACAAGCGGAGGAACAUGUGGUUUAAUUCGAUGAUACGCGAGGAACCUUACCUGGGCUAGAACGCAAUCGGAAUCAGGCCGAAAGGUCUGCGCCAGCGAUGGCCGCUUGCGAGGUGCUGCAUGGUUGUCGUCAGCUCGUGCCGUGAGGUGUCGGGUUAAGUCCCAUAACGAGCGCAACCCCUACUGCUAGUUGCCAGCGGGUCAUGCCGGGGACUCUAGCGGAACUGCCAGCGUAAGCUGCGAGGAAGGUGGGGAUGACGUCAAAUCAGCACGGCCCUUACGUCCAGGGCUACACACGUGUUACAAUGGCCAGUACAGAGGGCAGCCACCCCGCGAGGGGGCGCUAAUCCUAAAAGCUGGUCCCAGUUCGGAUCGGAGUCUGCAACCCGACUCCGUGAAGCUGGAUUCGCUAGUAAUCGCGCAUCAGCCACGGCGCGGUGAAUACGUUCCCGGGCCUU
RNAcentral lists this ribosomal RNA (504 nucleotides) under uncultured Rikenellaceae bacterium. RNAcentral's name for it is "bacterial SSU rRNA". It matches the Rfam family "Bacterial small subunit ribosomal RNA", at positions 903 to 1382 of the family's 1533-position model. The record is from RNAcentral. Lineage: Bacteria; Pseudomonadati; Bacteroidota; Bacteroidia; Bacteroidales; Rikenellaceae.